Molecule: non-coding RNA, 45 nt
Filed under: Schistosoma curassoni
Lineage: Eukaryota; Metazoa; Platyhelminthes; Trematoda; Strigeidida; Schistosomatidae
Source: RNAcentral
AUCCGUCUGACGAGUCCCAAGUAGGACGAAAUGCGCGUCCUGAAC